UAAAAAUGAAUCGGGGCUCCGGCCCGAUCCUCCCACCCUUUGUGUACCUACCUCUGUUGCUUUGGCGGGCCGCGGUCCCCCGCGGCCGCCCCCCCUCCCCGGGGGGUGGCUAGUGCCCGCCAGAGGACCAUCAAACUCCAGUCAGUGAACGUCGCAGUCUGAAAAAACAUUCAAUAAACUAAAACUUUCAACAACGGAUCUCUUGGUUCUGGCAUCGAUGAAGAACGCAGCGAAAUGCGAUAAGUAAUGUGAAUUGCAGAAUUCAGUGAAUCAUCGAAUCUUUGAACGCACAUUGCGCCCCUUGGUAUUCCGAGGGGCAUGCCUGUUCGAGCGUCAUUACAACCCUCAAGCUCUGCUUGGUAUUGGGCACCGCCCUUCUUCGGGCGCGCCUCAAAGACCUCGGCGGUGGCUGUCUUGCCUCAAGCGUAGUAGAAUACACCUCGCUUCGGAGCGCAGGGCGUCGCCCGCCGGACGAACCUUCUGAACUUUUCUCAAGGUUGACCUCGGAUCAGGUAGGGAUACCCGCUGAACUUAAGCAUAUCAAUAAGGCGGAGGAA
RNAcentral lists this ribosomal RNA (557 nucleotides) under Macrophomina phaseolina. Its description in RNAcentral is "eukaryotic LSU rRNA". The stretch from base 183 to 336 matches the Rfam family "5.8S ribosomal RNA". The record is from RNAcentral. Lineage: Eukaryota; Fungi; Ascomycota; Dothideomycetes; Botryosphaeriales; Botryosphaeriaceae.